Molecule: ribosomal RNA, 376 nt
Filed under: Choreotrichia sp.
Lineage: Eukaryota; Ciliophora; Spirotrichea
Description: SSU rRNA
Rfam family: Eukaryotic small subunit ribosomal RNA
Source: RNAcentral
AGCUCCAAUAGCGUAUAUUAAAGUUGUUGCAGUUAAAAAGCUCGUAGUUGGAUUUCUGGCAGGAUGACUUUGCCCUCUGUAGAGUGCGCAAUGCUGUCCUACCAUCCUUCUGUUAACCCUGGAGGCCUUUAACAGCUUGUAGGGGGCUCAGAUAUUUUACCUUGAGAAAAUUAGAGUGUUUCAGGCAGGCUAGCGCCGGAAUACAUUAGCAUGGAAUAAUAGAAUAGGACUUAAGCCUCUUCUGUUGGUCUGAGGGGUGUAAGUAAUGAUUAAUAGGGAUAGUUGGGGGCAUUAGUACUUAACUGUCAGAGGUGAAAUUCUCGGAUUUGUUAAAGACUAACUUAUGCGAAAGCAUUUGCCAAGGAUGUUUUCAUUA